AGGUCAGGCAGAGAUCUAUUUUCUGUAGUGGGAAGAAAGCCAUCGCGCAAUCCGAGGCAUCGGUUUACGACAUCGGCAUAAAAGGGAAAUGGGUAGUAAGGAUCAUAGGAUCUCCACUACCUAUGGAAAGCUAUUCAACCUUUAUCCUUAUCGGCUGCCCUUGCUUCUCGUACUUCCCAUAUUCCUUUUGAAACUCCUUAUCAAAGAAUGCAAAUGAAUACUGUCUUGGAGGAAAAAUGGCCACUCGGCUGA
RNAcentral lists this long non-coding RNA (252 nucleotides) under Amborella trichopoda. RNAcentral describes it as "long non-coding RNA (ATRI_LNC003988)". The record is from RNAcentral. Lineage: Eukaryota; Viridiplantae; Streptophyta; Magnoliopsida; Amborellales; Amborellaceae.